This 206-nucleotide ribosomal RNA is filed under the name uncultured bacterium. RNAcentral describes it as "partial 16S ribosomal RNA". It matches the Rfam family "Bacterial small subunit ribosomal RNA", at positions 568 to 774 of the family's 1533-position model. The record is from RNAcentral.
CGUGUAGGCGGCCAGAUAGGUCUGGUGUGAAAACUCGAGGCUCAACCUCGAGAGGUCACUGGAAACCAUUUGGCUAGAGUCCGGAAGAGGAGAGUGGAAUUCCUGGUGUAGCGGUGAAAUGCGCAGAUAUCAGGAAGAACACCUAUGGCGAAGGCAGCUCUCUGGGACGGUACUGACGCUGAGACGCGAAAGCGUGGGAGCAAACA